GGCGGCGGUACUGCGGCGGCGAGUUGGUGCCUGAGGUACGCGGCAGGGCGGCUGCAAGGCGCGUGCAACCCGCAGGCGGUUGCAAAGGCGACUGAGUUUGCAUUGGCAGCAGUAGAGCGCCGAGACCCGGAGGAGGCGGAGGACGAGUCCCGCACGCCGCCUGCUGCUUCCGCCCCGGCUCUUGCUGUCAGGGCUGCGGGGAGGGAGCAGCCGUCGCCGAGGCGGCCAUUCCGCUUCCUCCUCCUCCCCGCUGCAGCCGCGGCUGCGUCCUGUCAGCGCUGUUGCUAGGUGUGGAGGCGAGGAUGGCGCGCGCGCUGGCUCGCUCUCCCUUCCUCCCGACCAGCCCCGGGCCAGCUUCGAUGCACCAGAGGCGACUGUCUGGGAAGGCCGGACGGACAAGGCUUGGAGGGCCCUGGCUGCGGGGGUAGAGGUUAAGUGGCUGCAGCAGGGGAAGUGAAGGUCUCUGUGGGACUUGCCGGUUGGCGUAGUUUCAUCGUGGUCGUGCGGGACACGCGAAGCUGCUUGGGCGUGGGGAGUUCACGGAGGAACCCCCGGAGGAGCGCCGCCUCGCCUGGUUCCCGGCGAUUUCCAUUGGGAGUCAAGCUGGGCCUCUAAGCAAAGUCCUCCUGAACUGUGGAGAUAGUUGUUGGUAUUCACCUGGUGUCAGGGGUCAGCAUCAUUUGUCACCUGUUAAGGCCUAUGUCCUGGCAGGGGACCUACCACCUACUGGCACCACUCCACCCCUCCUGAAAUUUCUCCUGCUACUCCUUGCCAUCGCCAGCUGUGUCUCCCUGUCUGCUCAUUUCCUCACCCGUUUCCGGUCCAUUGUAUAAAUGCUAUUUCUUUAAUGUAGUGAUUUGGUGUACAGCCUAAGGGCAGCAUAAGGAUGGCCAAUAAUCUUGUGUGUGAUAUUGAUGUAUUGGUAUUGUGAAUUUUUUUGAUUAUUUACGAUAUACUAUAAGGCAAUAUGUUGUAAUGUACAAUAAAAUUUGAUUCAAGA
This is a long non-coding RNA of Rhineura floridana, 1000 nucleotides long. RefSeq lists it as uncharacterized. Lineage: Eukaryota; Metazoa; Chordata; Lepidosauria; Squamata; Rhineuridae. The transcript is spliced from 2 exons. The record is from RefSeq and is a predicted model, not a curated record.